This 75-nucleotide transfer RNA is filed under the name Chloroflexota bacterium. RNAcentral's name for it is "Chloroflexi bacterium tRNA-His". It matches the Rfam family "tRNA". From Rfam's summary of the family: Transfer RNA (tRNA) molecules are approximately 80 nucleotides in length. The record is from RNAcentral. Lineage: Bacteria; Bacillati; Chloroflexota.
GUUGGACGUAGCUUAAUGGCAAAGCACCUGAUUGUGGAUCAGGGGAUGCGGGUUCAAUUCCCGUCGUCCACCCCA